RNAcentral lists this ribosomal RNA (2900 nucleotides) under Klebsiella pneumoniae. Its description in RNAcentral is "bacterial LSU rRNA". It matches the Rfam family "Bacterial large subunit ribosomal RNA". Lineage: Bacteria; Pseudomonadati; Pseudomonadota; Gammaproteobacteria; Enterobacterales; Enterobacteriaceae. The record is from RNAcentral.
UUAAGCGACUAAGCGUACACGGUGGAUGCCCUGGCAGUCAGAGGCGAUGAAGGACGUGCUAAUCUGCGAAAAGCGUCGGUAAGGUGAUAUGAACCGUUAUAGCCGGCGAUGUCCGAAUGGGGAAACCCAGUGCAAUUCGUUGCACUAUCGUUAACUGAAUACAUAGGUUAACGAGGCGAACCGGGGGAACUGAAACAUCUAAGUACCCCGAGGAAAAGAAAUCAACCGAGAUUCCCCCAGUAGCGGCGAGCGAACGGGGAGCAGCCCAGAGUCUGAAUCAGCUUGUGUGUUAGUGGAACGGUCUGGAAAGUCCGACGGUACAGGGUGAUAGUCCCGUACACCAAAAUGCACAGGCUGUGAACUCGAAGAGUAGGGCGGGACACGUGGUAUCCUGUCUGAAUAUGGGGGGACCAUCCUCCAAGGCUAAAUACUCCUGACUGACCGAUAGUGAACCAGUACCGUGAGGGAAAGGCGAAAAGAACCCCGGCGAGGGGAGUGAAAAAGAACCUGAAACCGUGUACGUACAAGCAGUGGGAGCACCUUCGGGUGUGACUGCGUACCUUUUGUAUAAUGGGUCAGCGACUUAUAUUCUGUAGCAAGGUUAACCGUAUAGGGGAGCCGCAGGGAAACCGAGUCUUAACUGGGCGUUAAGUUGCAGGGUAUAGACCCGAAACCCGGUGAUCUAGCCAUGGGCAGGUUGAAGGUUGGGUAACACUAACUGGAGGACCGAACCGACUAAUGUUGAAAAAUUAGCGGAUGACUUGUGGCUGGGGGUGAAAGGCCAAUCAAACCGGGAGAUAGCUGGUUCUCCCCGAAAGCUAUUUAGGUAGCGCCUCGUGAACUCAUCUUCGGGGGUAGAGCACUGUUUCGGCUAGGGGGUCAUCCCGACUUACCAACCCGAUGCAAACUACGAAUACCGAAGAAUGUUAUCACGGGAGACACACGGCGGGUGCUAACGUCCGUCGUGAAGAGGGAAACAACCCAGACCGCCAGCUAAGGUCCCAAAGUCAUGGUUAAGUGGGAAACGAUGUGGGAAGGCACAGACAGCCAGGAUGUUGGCUUAGAAGCAGCCAUCAUUUAAAGAAAGCGUAAUAGCUCACUGGUCGAGUCGGCCUGCGCGGAAGAUGUAACGGGGCUAAACCAUGCACCGAAGCUGCGGCAGCGACACUAUGUGUUGUUGGGUAGGGGAGCGUUCUGUAAGCCUGCGAAGGUGUGCUGUGAGGCAUGCUGGAGGUAUCAGAAGUGCGAAUGCUGACAUAAGUAACGAUAAAGCGGGUGAAAAGCCCGCUCGCCGGAAGACCAAGGGUUCCUGUCCAACGUUAAUCGGGGCAGGGUGAGUCGACCCCUAAGGCGAGGCCGAAAGGCGUAGUCGAUGGGAAACAGGUUAAUAUUCCUGUACUUGGUGUUACUGCGAAGGGGGGACGGAGAAGGCUAUGUUAGCCGGGCGACGGUUGUCCCGGUUUAAGCAUGUAGGCUGGUUGUCCAGGCAAAUCCGGAUAAUCAAGGCUGAGGUGUGAUGACGAGGCACUACGGUGCUGAAGUAACAAAUGCCCUGCUUCCAGGAAAAGCCUCUAAGCAUCAGGUAACAUCAAAUCGUACCCCAAACCGACACAGGUGGUCAGGUAGAGAAUACCAAGGCGCUUGAGAGAACUCGGGUGAAGGAACUAGGCAAAAUGGUGCCGUAACUUCGGGAGAAGGCACGCUGGUGUGUAGGUGAAGUCCCUGCGGAUGGAGCUGAGACCAGUCGAAGAUACCAGCUGGCUGCAACUGUUUAUUAAAAACACAGCACUGUGCAAACACGAAAGUGGACGUAUACGGUGUGACGCCUGCCCGGUGCCGGAAGGUUAAUUGAUGGGGUUAUCCGUAAGGAGAAGCUCUUGAUCGAAGCCCCGGUAAACGGCGGCCGUAACUAUAACGGUCCUAAGGUAGCGAAAUUCCUUGUCGGGUAAGUUCCGACCUGCACGAAUGGCGUAAUGAUGGCCAGGCUGUCUCCACCCGAGACUCAGUGAAAUUGAACUCGCUGUGAAGAUGCAGUGUACCCGCGGCAAGACGGAAAGACCCCGUGAACCUUUACUAUAGCUUGACACUGAACAUUGAGCCUUGAUGUGUAGGAUAGGUGGGAGGCUUUGAAGCGUGGACGCCAGUCUGCGUGGAGCCAACCUUGAAAUACCACCCUUUAAUGUUUGAUGUUCUAACGUUGGCCCCUGACCGGGGUUGCGGACAGUGUCUGGUGGGUAGUUUGACUGGGGCGGUCUCCUCCCAAAGCGUAACGGAGGAGCACGAAGGUUAGCUAAUCCUGGUCGGACAUCAGGAGGUUAGUGCAAUGGCAUAAGCUAGCUUGACUGCGAGCGUGACGGCGCGAGCAGGUGCGAAAGCAGGUCAUAGUGAUCCGGUGGUUCUGAAUGGAAGGGCCAUCGCUCAACGGAUAAAAGGUACUCCGGGGAUAACAGGCUGAUACCGCCCAAGAGUUCAUAUCGACGGCGGUGUUUGGCACCUCGAUGUCGGCUCAUCACAUCCUGGGGCUGAAGUAGGUCCCAAGGGUAUGGCUGUUCGCCAUUUAAAGUGGUACGCGAGCUGGGUUUAGAACGUCGUGAGACAGUUCGGUCCCUAUCUGCCGUGGGCGCUGGAGAAUUGAGGGGGGCUGCUCCUAGUACGAGAGGACCGGAGUGGACGCAUCACUGGUGUUCGGGUUGUCAUGCCAAUGGCACUGCCCGGUAGCUAAAUGCGGAAGAGAUAAGUGCUGAAAGCAUCUAAGCACGAAACUUGCCCCGAGAUGAGUUCUCCCUGAGACUUUAAGUCUCCUGAAGGAACGUUAAAGACGAUGACGUUGAUAGGCCGGGUGUGUAAGCGCAGCGAUGCGUUGAGCUAACCGGUACUAAUGAACCGUGAGGCUUAACCUU